AUACAGAGGUCCCAAGCGUUGUUCGGAUUCGACUGGGCGUAAAGGGUGCGUAGGUGGCCAGGUAAGUCUGAUGUGAAAUCUCGAAGCCCAACUUCGAAACUGCAUCGGAUACUAUCUGGCUAGAGGUCUGGAGGGGGGACUGGAAUUCUCGGUGUAGCAGUGAAAUGCGUAGAUAUCGAGAGGAACGCCAAUGGCGAAGGCUAGUCCCUGGACAGAUCCUGACACUGAGGCACGAAAGCUAGGGGAGC
RNAcentral lists this ribosomal RNA (248 nucleotides) under uncultured bacterium. Its description in RNAcentral is "partial 16S ribosomal RNA". It matches the Rfam family "Bacterial small subunit ribosomal RNA", at positions 523 to 769 of the family's 1533-position model. The record is from RNAcentral.